CCUACGGGGGGCAGCAGUGGGGAAUAUUGGACAAUGGGCGAAAGCCUGAUCCAGCCAUGCCGCGUGUGUGAAGAAGGCCUUCGGGUUGUAAAGCACUUUCAGUGGGGAAGAAAGCCUUGGGGCUAAUACCCUCGAGGAAGGACAUCACCCACAGAAGAAGCACCGGCUAACUCCGUGCCAGCAGCCGCGGUAAUACGGAGGGUGCGAGCGUUAAUCGGAAUUACUGGGCGUAAAGCGCGCGUAGGCGGUCUGAUAAGCCGGUUGUGAAAGCCCCGGGCUCAACCUGGGAACGGCAUCCGGAACUGUCAGGCUAGAGUGCAGGAGAGGAAGGUAGAAUUCCCGGUGUAGCGGUGAAAGGCGUAGAGAUCGGGAGGAAUACCAGUGGCGAAGGCGGCCUUCUGGACUGACACUGACGCUGAGGUGCGAAAGCGUGGGUAGCAAACAGGAUUAGAUACCCUGGUAGC
RNAcentral lists this ribosomal RNA (464 nucleotides) under Vreelandella stevensii. RNAcentral's name for it is "partial 16S ribosomal RNA". It matches the Rfam family "Bacterial small subunit ribosomal RNA", at positions 338 to 794 of the family's 1533-position model. Lineage: Bacteria; Pseudomonadati; Pseudomonadota; Gammaproteobacteria; Oceanospirillales; Halomonadaceae. The record is from RNAcentral.